Long non-coding RNA from Gracilinanus agilis (Agile Gracile Mouse Opossum), 533 nucleotides. RefSeq lists it as uncharacterized. The transcript has 4 exons. NCBI's taxonomy places the organism in Eukaryota, Metazoa, Chordata, Mammalia, Didelphimorphia, Didelphidae. The record is from RefSeq and is a predicted model, not a curated record.
CAAAAUUGAUUAGCAGUGAAGUGGCACAAUCGGUAGAGUACCAAUCACUCCAAUAUCUUUGUCAAGAAAAACUUUUAUGGAAUCACAAAAAGUCAGGCACAACGGAAACGGAAGGAACAAGAAGAAGAAACCAGAAUUCAUCAUUUCGUUUCAUCAGAUAAGAAUAAAAAAUGAAAAUAAAUGGACAAUGAGGUGGCACAGUAGGCAGAGUACCAAUCACUCCAGUAUCUUUGUCAACAAAAGUCUACAUGGAAUCAAAAAGAGUCAGGCACAACGGAAACGACAAAGAAAAAACAGAAUUCAUCAAUUCAUUUCAUCAGAUAAGAAAAAAUGAAAUAAAAAUCAACAGGUAGCAGCGAGGUGGCAGAGUAGGCAGAGUACCAAUCACUCCAAUAUUUUUUUCAAGAAAAGUCUACACAGAAUCAUAAAGUCAGGCACAACGGAAAAGAGGGAACAACAAAAAGAAACCAGAAUUCAUCAUUUCAUUUCAUCAGAUAAGAAACUAAAAUAAAAAUCAACGGGCAGUGAGGUGG